Molecule: ribosomal RNA, 253 nt
Filed under: uncultured bacterium
Lineage: Bacteria
Description: partial 16S ribosomal RNA
Rfam family: Bacterial small subunit ribosomal RNA
Source: RNAcentral
UACGUAGGGGGCUAGCGUUGUUCGGGAUUACUGGGCGUAAAGCGCACGUAGGCGGCUUUGUAAGUUAGAGGUGAAAGCCCGGGGCUCAACUCCGGAAUUGCCUUUAAGACUGCAUCGCUAGAAUUGUGGAGAGGUAAGUGGAAUUCCGAGUGUAGAGGUGAAAUUCGUAGAUAUUCGGAAGAACACCAGUGGCGAAGGCGACUUACUGGACACAUAUUGACGCUGAGGUGCGAAAGCGUGGGGAGCAAACAGG